AAAAAUUCCCAUGUGACAAAUGAUGAGCAUUAAUUAGCUAAAUCCGCAGAACAAUAUUAAUAAUAAAGAAAGAGAAACAGAACUUGUCCACUUGUUUCCUUCCAUCCAAAUUACAGAUAUAAAAAUUUUCCAUCUCCCCUCUAUCGCCAUAUUUUCAUACAAAUAAAACAAAAUGAGCCCUGCAGAUACCUCCUCCGAUAUCAUCUCCGACGAAUCCAAGAUUCCUCUUCUUCCUGUCCACGAUCAAACAAUCCAACGUCGAUCAAGCUCCCAUUCAUCUCUGAAGGAUUCCCUUCUCACACCAGCCAAUUUCUAUAUCCUGCUAGGGCCUCUUUUGUGUGCCAUAAUAUGCCUGUUGGUGAAGUUAGAUGCUCCGGUGAAUAGCAGGAACAUGUUAGCCAUUCUUGCGUGGAUGUUCUCUUGGUGGCUCACGGAGGCUGUGCCUAUGCCGAUCACUUCGAUGGCACCUCUGUUUCUGUUUCCAUUCUUCGGAAUUGCUUCUGCUGAUAACGUUGCUAAAUCUUAUAUGGAUGAUGUGAUUGCUCUUGUUCUUGGAAGCUUUAUCCUGGCUCUUGCUGUUGAGCAUUAUAAUAUACACAAGAGAUUGGCCUUAAACGUGAGAUCGAAAUUUCCUUUUAAAUCACGACUAGUUCACUUUUUCUUUUUUAAUCACUGGAUUCUUGAACUUGGAAAUAAUUGUGGGGUAUUAUGAAUUUAUAAUAUACAGAUAACCCAUCUGUUCUGCGGAGAUCCUGUAAAACCACCACUUCUCCUCCUUGGAAUAUGCGGCACCACAGCAUUUGUCAGCAUGUGGAUGCACAACGUUGCGGCGGCGGUGAUUAUGAUGCCCGUGGCGACAGGGAUUUUGCAGCGGCUGCCGGUGGGUCCAGUCCAAGGACAAAACAAUGUGGUGGGAAAGUUCUGCAAGGCAGUGGUCCUGGGGGUGAUAUACUCUGCAGCUGUUGGAGGGAUGAGCACUCUUACGGGGACGGGUGUCAACCUGAUAUUGGUGGGGAUGUGGAAGAGCUAUUUUCCACAGGCAAAUCCUAUCAGCUUCAGCACUUGGUUCUUCUUCGGGUUUCCUCUGGCUUUGGUAAUUUUCCUUGCUUUGUGGGCCAUACUUUGUUUGUUGUAUUGCUCAAGAGGUUCAGGCCAAGUCCUCUCUGCUUAUUUGGACAGAGCUCACCUCAAGGGAGAACUUGAAACUCUAGGUCCAAUGGCUUUUGCUGAAAAGUCGAUUUUAGCCAUAUUUGGGAUGCUAAUAGUUUUAUGGAUGACAAGAAGCUUAACAGAUGAGAUUCCUGGUUGGGGAGCUCUCUUCAAUGGACGUGCUGGGGAUGGAACUGUCAGUGUUAUGAUGGCAACAUUACUAUUCAUAAUACCAAGCAAGAAGCAAAAGGGUGAGAAAUUGAUGGAUUGGAACAAAUGCAAGAAGCUACCAUGGAACAUCAUAUUACUCCUAGGAGCUGGUUUUGCCAUUGCAGAUGGAGUGAGGACUAGUGGCCUGGCUGAUGUGCUUUCAAAAGCAUUGGACUUCUUGGAGGAAGCACCAUACUGGGAAAUUGCCCCUAUUGUGUGUCUCAUUAGUGCCACAAUCACUGAAUUCACUUCCAAUAAUGCCACAACCACACUCUUGGUCCCUCUGCUCAUUCAAAUUGCAAAAUCUAUGCAUGCCCACCCACUGCUGCUUAUGGUUCCUGGAGCAAUUGGAGCACAAUUUUCUUUCUUGCUUCCAACUGGAACACCUUCCAAUAUUGUAGGGUUCACCACUGGGCAUAUUGAGAUCAAAGAUAUGAUUAAGACUGGGUUGCCCCUCAAGAUUGCUGGUAUUACAGCACUUGCUUUUCUAAUGCCUACACUAGGAGCUUAUGUUUUUAGGACAAAUGGAGAAGUUCAAUAAACAUCUGCAUAGUCUUGUGUGAUCAGCAGCUGGUCUCUUCCUCGUUGUAGGGCUUGAAGAAUUGAAGUUAUAUAUUUUGUGCAAUCAAAGUGAAAUGCUCUUCUUGUUUCCAAAUUUUCCUUCUAUAUUUUUCUUUCCUGUUAUUGUAAAUGUACAUAUCUAGUGAUUCACAAUUAGAAUGCUAAG
Molecule: unclassified non-coding RNA, 2086 nt
Filed under: Hevea brasiliensis (rubber tree)
Lineage: Eukaryota; Viridiplantae; Streptophyta; Magnoliopsida; Malpighiales; Euphorbiaceae
Source: RNAcentral